This 24-nucleotide non-coding RNA is filed under the name Gossypium hirsutum (cotton). The record is from RNAcentral. Lineage: Eukaryota; Viridiplantae; Streptophyta; Magnoliopsida; Malvales; Malvaceae.
AAAGACUGAAGGUAAGGAGAGUGC